RNAcentral lists this long non-coding RNA (414 nucleotides) under Arabidopsis lyrata. RNAcentral describes it as "long non-coding RNA (ALYR_LNC001619)". Lineage: Eukaryota; Viridiplantae; Streptophyta; Magnoliopsida; Brassicales; Brassicaceae. The record is from RNAcentral.
AUAUACUCUAUAUUUACCGCUUUAUCAUGGUUGUUAAGAUCCAUUUUAUUGUGUUUCAUUAGUAUUUUCAUUGUGUUUUGUUGCAUUUAGUGUCCAAGUGAGUCUUCUUCCAUUUUAGAAGUCCUAUAGUGUCUAUGUGUGUCUUUUGGUGUGUUUUGUGUGUCUUUUGAGCAAUUUCAGGUUAAAAUAAUGGACGACACACAUUUGGAUGCAAAGAAGAGAAUUGAUGAUUCAGAACCAGUCCGAAGUCCCUCAAAGAUCGACUCAGAUGGAAGUCUUUCAUUGCGAUUUAGCUUCAGAGCUCUUCAUACAAGUUAUAGGAAAUUGAGUUACCUUUCCAACGGAUGUGAUUUCAAGCAAAUCAGAGCUUCUAUGUAAGAAUUAUGGUGGUUUUAAUGGAGAUAUAUCACUCUG